AGACUCUUUUAUGAUGGGGGCGAAAUAGGAUCGACAAGGGCGUAAAGACUGCUCUUUUACUCGGCAUUGUACCACCGUUAUCGGGCUAACUUAGUAGUUGCAAAUGACAACUAUGCGGAAGCUCGUCUCGCUGCUUAAUUGCGGUGCGAAAGCUUCAACUUAAGUCUUGAGCCGUCGCAGGUUCAAGCGGGGUUCGGAGGCACCUGGCAACAGAAGCA
Molecule: transfer-messenger RNA, 218 nt
Filed under: uncultured Bartonella sp.
Lineage: Bacteria; Pseudomonadati; Pseudomonadota; Alphaproteobacteria; Hyphomicrobiales; Bartonellaceae
Description: partial small stable RNA A
Rfam family: Alphaproteobacteria transfer-messenger RNA
About the family: Bacterial tmRNA, also known as 10Sa RNA or SsrA, is named for its dual tRNA and mRNA-like properties. Its role is to liberate the mRNA from a stalled ribosome.
Source: RNAcentral